Long non-coding RNA from Vulpes vulpes (red fox), 1503 nucleotides. NCBI's taxonomy places the organism in Eukaryota, Metazoa, Chordata, Mammalia, Carnivora, Canidae. The record is from Ensembl.
GCCGCUGCCUCCCAUCCGGUCGUGUCUGAGCUACAGCUUCAUCAAAUGCGUUUUUGAGGCAGGAAGAAAAUGUACGAAUAUGAACUGACUACUCAGUCCAGAUAGUUCAUACACAGGCAUGUUUGCUGUCUGUGAAAACCUCCAAGGGUGAGUAUUGUUUGGUCCGUUUUCCCAGGUGAGAAAACAGGAUGCCACAUAAGUCACGUAACUUGGCGGAGAGUUUGAAACGUCUUUGAUGCCAGAGUCACCAGUUUAUCAGCUCUUUUCCUUUCUUUUUUCUUUUCUUUUCUUUUCUUUUCUUUUCUUUUUUUCUUUUCUUUUCUUUCUUUUCUUUUCUUUUUUUCUUUUCUUUUCUUUUUUUCUUUUUUUCUUUUCUUUUUUUUUUGCAAUUGGAUAAAUAUUUAUGGAGGUUUUGGUAGGUGGACUCCUGGCCUAGUGGGAGAAACAAAUAAGAAGUCUCAGCUCGCAGUUAUAAGGGGGUUUCAAGGAGGGAGCCCGUGAUAAGUAAAGUUGAAAUUGGCCUCCAGAGAGAGAGGUGGGAGGUGGAAGGGAGAGAGCUCUGCUGGAGGUAACACGGGGUCGUGGCUGUAGAGGACCAGCUGUGGGUUUCCAGGUGGAGAUGUAGAUGGGCGGCUGGGACAGUGGUGGGCCUCGUGCGCUGACCAGAGUGUUCAGAGCGUCGAGAUGCAGAGAGCUUUACGCUCAACGCUGGGACCUUGAAGAAGUCACCAAGGAGUAUCCUUGUCUGGUCCUGCCCCAUUAUGACUUAGUGCGAUGCCCCAUUAUGACUUAGUGUGAUGCCCUUGGGGCCCUAAGAGCCCUCUGUUAGCGUGACAAGAAGACAGUGAUUGGAUUCGCUUAGGAAUGUCAGCAGAAGGUCCACAGAGAGGCUUACAUUUUUUUGAGUUUCAAUUUUCUUAACGUGCAGUGUAUUGUUAGUUGCAGGGGUAGAGCUCAGUGCUUCGUCUGUUGUGUAUGAACCCGGGGCUCACCCCAUCACCUGCCCUCCUUCAUGCCCAUUGCCCAGUCACCCCAUCUGCUCACCCACCUCUCCUCCAGCAACCAAGAGGUCGUAUCGUUGAGCUGGGUCUGGAAGAGUUGUUACUGUGCGUGUAUGUGUGUGGUGAAGAGUUUCUCAAAUUUUUUAAUCUCAGGACUCCUCAACCCUCCUCUCAGAAUCUCAGGUUCCACCUUACCUGGAAAUGAUGGAACAUCUGCAGAGUUAUAGAUUCUCGGCGAACUUCACUGUCUCUUGUGUGGACAAUCAUUCACGCCUUGCCUACUGACCCUACAGCUCCUGCGUGGUUUCAUUCUGUCUCAGUCAGUUUGGGUUGCUGUAAAGAAAAAAAAAUGACACCUACUGGGUGGCUUAAACAUCCAAUGUGUAUUUUUCAUGGAUCUGCAGGCUGGAAGUGCAAGAUCGGAGUGUGAGGAUGGUCAGGUUCUUGGUGAGGGCUCUUUUUCUGUUGUAUAGAUGACCACCUUCUUGUUUUGUCCCCUCAU